GACGAACGCUGGCGGCGUGCUUAACACAUGCAAGUCGAACGGAAAGGCCCUGCUUUUGUGGGGUGCUCGAGUGGCGAACGGGUGAGUAACACGUGAGUAACCUGCCCUUGACUUUGGGAUAACUUCAGGAAACUGGGGCUAAUACCGGAUAGGAGCUCCUGCUGCAUGGUGGGGGUUGGAAAGUUUCGGCGGUUGGGGAUGGACUCGCGGCUUAUCAGCUUGUUGGUGGGGUAGUGGCUUACCAAGGCUUUGACGGGUAGCCGGCCUGAGAGGGUGACCGGCCACAUUGGGACUGAGAUACGGCCCAGACUCCUACGGGAGGCAGCAGUGGGGAAUAUUGCACAAUGGGCGGAAGCCUGAUGCAGCAACGUCGCGUGCGGGAUGACGGCCGUCGGGUUGUAAACCGCUUUCGCCUGUGACGAAGCGUGAGUGACGGUAAUGGGUAAAGAAGCACCGGCUAACUACGUG
This 468-nucleotide ribosomal RNA is filed under the name uncultured bacterium. RNAcentral describes it as "partial 16S ribosomal RNA". It matches the Rfam family "Bacterial small subunit ribosomal RNA", at positions 28 to 507 of the family's 1533-position model. The record is from RNAcentral.